CUUGCUUCUCUUGAGAGCGGCGGACGGGUGAGUAAUGCCUAGGAAUCUGCCUGGUAGUGGGGGAUAACGUUCGGAAACGGACGCUAAUACCGCAUACGUCCUACGGGAGAAAGCAGGGGACCUUCGGGCCUUGCGCUAUCAGAUGAGCCUAGGUCGGAUUAGCUAGUUGGUGGGGUAAUGGCUCACCAAGGCGACGAUCCGUAACUGGUCUGAGAGGAUGAUCAGUCACACUGGAACUGAGACACGGUCCAGACUCCUACGGGAGGCAGCAGUGGGGAAUAUUGGACAAUGGGCGAAAGCCUGAUCCAGCCAUGCCGCGUGUGUGAAGAAGGUCUUCGGAUUGUAAAGCACUUUAAGUUGGGAGGAAGGGUUGUAGAUUAAUACUCUGCAAUUUUGACGUUACCGACAGAAUAAGCACCGGCUAACUCUGUGCCAGCAGCCGCGGUAAUACAGAGGGUGCAAGCGUUAAUCGGAAUUACUGGGCGUAAAGCGCGCGUAGGUGGUUUGUUAAGUUGGAUGUGAGAUCCCCGGGCUCAACCUGGGAACUGCAUUCAAAACUGACUGACUAGAGUAUGGUAGAGGGUGGUGGAAUUUCCUGUGUAGCGGUGAAAUGCGUAGAUAUA
RNAcentral lists this ribosomal RNA (623 nucleotides) under uncultured bacterium. RNAcentral describes it as "bacterial SSU rRNA". It matches the Rfam family "Bacterial small subunit ribosomal RNA", at positions 79 to 698 of the family's 1533-position model. The record is from RNAcentral.